Molecule: ribosomal RNA, 481 nt
Filed under: uncultured bacterium
Lineage: Bacteria
Description: partial 16S ribosomal RNA
Rfam family: Bacterial small subunit ribosomal RNA
Source: RNAcentral
GAUGAACGCUGGCGGCGUGCUUAACACAUGCAAGUCGAACGAAGCAUUUAGGACAGAUUACUUCGGUUUGAAGUUCUUUAUGACUGAGUGGCGGACGGGUGAGUAACGCGUGGGUAACCUGCCUUGUACUGGGGGAUAGCAGCUGGAAACGGCUGGUAAUACCGCAUAAGCGCACAAUGUUGCAUGACAUGGUUGGAAAAACUCCGGUGGUAUAAGAUGGACCCGCGUCUGAUUAGCUAGUUGGUGAGAUAACAGCCCACCAAGGCGACGAUCGGUAGCCGAACUGAGAGGGUGACCGGCCACAUUGGGACUGAGACACGGCCCAGACUCCUACGGGAGGCAGCAGUGGGGAAUAUUGCACAAUUGAGGAAACUCUGAUGCAGCGACGCCGCGUGAGUGAAGAAGUAAUUCGUUAUGUAAAGCUCUAUCAGCAGGGAAGAUAGUGACGGUACCUGACUAAGAAGCGCCGGCUAAAUACGUG